UACGGGGGGGGCAAGCGUUGUUCGGAAUUACUGGGCGUAAAGGGCUCGUAGGCGGCCAACUAAGUCAGACGUGAAAUCCCUCGGCUUAACCGGGGAACUGCGUCUGAUACUGGAUGGCUUGAGUUUGGGAGAGGGAUGCGGAAUUCCAGGUGUAGCGGUGAAAUGCGUAGAUAUUCGCAAGAACACCAGUGGCGAAGGCGGCUCACUGGCCCGAUACUGACGCUGAGGCACGAAAGCGUGGGGAGCAAACAGG
This 253-nucleotide ribosomal RNA is filed under the name uncultured bacterium. RNAcentral describes it as "partial 16S ribosomal RNA". It matches the Rfam family "Bacterial small subunit ribosomal RNA", at positions 524 to 776 of the family's 1533-position model. The record is from RNAcentral.